RNAcentral lists this signal recognition particle RNA (274 nucleotides) under Microdochium bolleyi. Its description in RNAcentral is "Fungal signal recognition particle RNA". It matches the Rfam family "Fungal signal recognition particle RNA". The record is from Rfam by way of RNAcentral. Lineage: Eukaryota; Fungi; Ascomycota; Sordariomycetes; Xylariales; Microdochiaceae.
CGACUGUAAUGGUCAAUUUGGUUGAAGGCGCUUGUUACUCCCAGCUAGCCGCACCACUUCCGUUAGAUCCCUCGACGCCGCGCCCACCGAGGAUGCUGCGGUGGCCGCCUAUCCGCUUGGGUAACCAGCGUUGACUAGAUGGUCCUCAGACAUGGAGAGCACACUUCAGGGUGGUCUUACACUGCAGAGUAUCUCCCCCGUCGCAUAGCUCGGUGGAUCACGUCGGCUCGAGGAUGUGGGAUGGUUGGUUGGGAUGGAGAUUGUCAACUCCGUU